Molecule: ribosomal RNA, 633 nt
Filed under: uncultured Bacteroidales bacterium
Lineage: Bacteria; Pseudomonadati; Bacteroidota; Bacteroidia; Bacteroidales
Description: bacterial SSU rRNA
Rfam family: Bacterial small subunit ribosomal RNA
Source: RNAcentral
AUACCGCUGACGACCGGCGCACGGGUGAGUAACACGUAUCCAACCUACCCCUUAACGGGGAUAGCCUUUCGAAAGAGAGAUUAAUACCCCCUAGUAUAGCGAUAAGGCAUCUUAUUGCUAUUAAAGAAUUUCGGUGUUUGAUGGGGAUGCGUUCCAUUAGAUUGUUGGUGAGGUAACGGCUCACCAAGUCUUCGAUGGAUAGGGGUUCUGAGAGGAAGGUCCCCCACAUUGGAACUGAGACACGGUCCAAACUCCUACGGGAGGCAGCAGUGAGGAAUAUUGGUCAAUGGACGAGAGUCUGAACCAGCCAAGUAGCGUGAAGGAUGAAGGCCCUAUGGGUCGUAAACUUCUUUUAUAGGGGAAUAAAGUGCGGAACGUGUUCCGUUUUGUAUGUACCCUACGAAUAAGGAUCGGCUAACUCCGUGCCAGCAGCCGCGGUAAUACGGAGGAUCCGAGCGUUAUCCGGAUUUAUUGGGUUUAAAGGGAGCGUAGGUGGACGUAUAAGUCAGUUGUGAAAGUUUGCGGCUCAACCGUAAAAUUGCAGUUGAUACUGUAUGUCUUGAGUGUACAAGAGGUGGGCGGAAUUCGUGGUGUAGCGGUGAAAUGCUUAGAUAUCACGAAGAACUCCGAUUG